Molecule: long non-coding RNA, 316 nt
Filed under: Musa acuminata (dwarf banana)
Lineage: Eukaryota; Viridiplantae; Streptophyta; Magnoliopsida; Zingiberales; Musaceae
Description: long non-coding RNA (MACU_LNC001647)
Source: RNAcentral
UGGGAAGAUAUCUUAACAACAGUGUUCAACUCAUAGCCAGUAAAGGUGCCGGAAGGAACCAGGAUUUGUUGAUCUAACUUGGCAUCAUUUGAGAAACGAUGCACAGCCAACCAACCAACCGGUUGUCUAUCAAGAAUCCGGAGUGAUGUCUUGCAAGAGUAUGCAGCAGAGGCGGUGCCACUUGUGGUGGGAAUGCAGGAACAACCCUAGUAAAUACUGGUAGGUAGAUCAUCACUGGCUGGCACCAUUGUGUCCUCGCUGUCGAUGUAGAACACACGGCAAUCUUUUCCAGGUUGUUCUGCUGGAUUUCCAUAUA